RNAcentral lists this ribosomal RNA (449 nucleotides) under uncultured bacterium. Its description in RNAcentral is "bacterial SSU rRNA". It matches the Rfam family "Bacterial small subunit ribosomal RNA", at positions 330 to 795 of the family's 1533-position model. The record is from RNAcentral.
GCCAGACUCCUACGGGAGGCAGCAGUAGGGAAUUUUGCGCAAUGGGGGAAACCCUGACGCAGCAACGCCGCGUGAUUGAUGAAGCCCUUCGGGGUGUAAAGAUCUGUCAGUGGGGACGAAACUUGACGGUACCCACAGAGGAAGCAUCGGCUAACUACGUGCCAGCAGCCGCGGUAAUACGUAGGGGGCGAGCGUUAUCCGGAAUUACUGGGUGUAAAGGGAGCGUAGACGGUGAUGCAAGUCUGGAGUGAAAGGCGGGGGCCCAACCCCCGGACUGCUCUGGAAACUGUGUAACUUGAGUGCAGGAGAGGUAAGCGGAAUUCCUAGUGUAGCGGUGAAAUGCGUAGAUAUUAGGAGGAACACCAGUGGCGAAGGCGGCUUACUGGACUGUAACUGACGUUGAGGCUCGAAAGCGUGGGGAGCAAACAGGAUUAGAUACCCCAGUAAUG